RNAcentral lists this ribosomal RNA (253 nucleotides) under uncultured bacterium. RNAcentral describes it as "partial 16S ribosomal RNA". It matches the Rfam family "Bacterial small subunit ribosomal RNA", at positions 524 to 776 of the family's 1533-position model. The record is from RNAcentral.
UACGUAGGGGGCAAGCGUUGUCCGGAAUCAUUGGACGUAAAGCGCACGCAGGCGGUCCUAUUAGUCUGGGGUGACAGUUCCCGGCUUAACCGGAAAAGGACUCUGGAAACUGUAGGACUUGAGGGCUUCAGAGGGAUGUGGAAUUCCAGGUGGAGUGGUGAAAUGCGUAGAGAUCUGGAAGAACACCAAAGGCGAAGGCAGCAUCCUGGGAAGUUCCUGACGCUCGGGUGCGAAAGCCAGGGGAGCGAACGGG